This 89-nucleotide transfer RNA is filed under the name Streptomyces lavendulae subsp. lavendulae. RNAcentral's name for it is "tRNA-Leu". Lineage: Bacteria; Bacillati; Actinomycetota; Actinomycetes; Kitasatosporales; Streptomycetaceae. The record is from RNAcentral.
GCCCCGAUGCCGAGUUCGGCGGCGAGCUUGAGGGUGUCGUGCUUGGAGCAGGCCAUGAAGAGCGGCGGGUGCGGGUCCUGCACGGGGCG